GGUUAUAGAGUAUUCCGGUAUGGUGGUGGUGUUAAUGCUGCGGUCAAAACUUAAAAAUAAAUAAAUGAAUAAAAAGCAGCGUGUCUAUCGACGUAUUACAGUGUGAUCAGCUUUAAGGUUUUUAAGUUGGGUUAAAGUUACUUCCGGGAUUACUGUCGCUUUUUGUUACUUCUCCGGUUAACUCGCCAGCUGGCCCUGAAUAUUUUAAAGAAAGUAAAUAAUUUAAGAGUGAAAAUGGUGGCAUUGUACGUCAGCUGAUGUUUAAACAGCAGCGUCAAUGGGAAAGAGGAAGGACAUGAUGAUCCACCCCAGAUAUCUUGUCGGGCUGCUGAUGAACGGACAGUGCAUUUCAGUUCCUCUGCAUCAGGCCACCUGGGACAGCUUUAGCUCACAAAUAUCUUUCUCACACAACCACUCCCUCAUCUCUCCUCUUAUCUCUCAUGCUAUCUCUUCCUUCCACCUUCACUAUUCCCAACGUGUCCAAACCCAGUGGAGCUACACGAAGGAGAAACACUGUGUUUUUUAAUAUGACACAAACUUGAUGUCCAGGCCAGUUGUCUUCACUGCACCAAGUCUGACCUUUACAAUGCUGCUGUUUGUGUGUGUGUGUAAUUUAAUCAAGACAAAUCCAAGAUCGGCCCUAAUCUGUUGUCUCUAACUUUUGCAUAAACACACAGGAGCAGUGUGGAGAUAAAGUUGAGUCUGAGUAAACACCGAAGCACUUCACUCUCAACCUUCACUCUGGUUUUUAAUUCAUUAACUCUCUUCAUGCAACCUUAACCUUAAUUUACUAUAAUGUCUGAACAUUGGAUUAUGAAACAAUAUGUACAGCCCUUCUCUCUCUCACUCGCUCACUCACCCUGAUGACAGGAUCUUGGAAAAGGAGUCAGUCCGUAUUACUCGCCCAUCAACAUCCAUAAAGAGAAACGUAGGAGUCCAUGGCUGAGGAAGGGAAAAACACACUGACUCCAUCUGGCUCUUAAACAGUGGUGACGGUCUUAUCUUUUCAACACUGAAAGUUAUCAGCUUGUGUAGAUAAACGCAAUAACAUGUUAAAGUAUAACUGUAUACAAAUAGUUUAAACAGGCCAAUAAAACAAUCAGCACCUUUUGAAACUGUAGGAAGUAGUACGGGUCAUUCUCAAUGAUAAGGAAAUCAUAAUUCUGUGCCAGCUGUAGAAACGCAACACACACACACACACACACUGUAAACUGUUCUGGCUCUGAGCAGAUUAGAAAGUUAAAUCCAUAAUUUAAUCAGAUGUUCCUAGAAGAACUGUGUACAAAUCACAUAUUACCAAGAAAUAUAAAAUCAGUAACUUCAUAAUGAACAUUUUUUGACCAUUGCUGUUUUUUUUUUAUUUUUACUUAGAAGAGAACUAAAACAAAAGAUCUACACCGAAGAUUGAUCUCUCUCUCUCUCAUAUUGUCCAGAGUACAUUUACAUGCACACAAUAGUUGGAUCACAAUAAUCUGAUAACUCUGGGUCUGUGUAAACCUGUCAAUCAUCAGAUUCUCUACAGUUAGCACCAUUAAAAGUAUUAAAUUAAAAUUAAAAGUAGAUUGCCUGUGUUAUUCUGAUUCCCAGUUCUUGGACUAUUGCCCAUUUCCUGACCACGAUUUGUCUAGCCCUCGUUACUGUUUUGGAUUUCUCGGUAUUGACCUGGCCUGGCUUUUGUACAUUGUCUUUUCUCACUGUGUUCAUUAAAACCUUGAGUUAAUUCUUAA
Neoarius graeffei (lesser salmon catfish) is the source of this 1727-nucleotide long non-coding RNA. RefSeq lists it as uncharacterized. Lineage: Eukaryota; Metazoa; Chordata; Actinopteri; Siluriformes; Ariidae. The transcript is spliced from 2 exons. The record is from RefSeq and is a predicted model, not a curated record.